CAGUAGCCGCGGGAAUACGAAGGGGGCUAGCGUUGCUCGGAAUGACUGGGCGUAAAGGGCGCGUAGGCGGUUUGGACAGUCAGAUGUGAAAUUCCUGGGCUUAACCUGGGGGCUGCAUUUGAUACGUUCAGGCUUGAGUGUGGAAGAGGGUCGUGGAAUUCCCAGUGUAGAGGUGAAAUUCGUAGAUAUUGGGAAGAACACCGGUGGCGAAGGCGGCGACCUGGUCCAUUACUGACGCUGAGGCGCGAAAGCGUGGGGAGCAAACAGGAUUAGAUACCCCUGUAGUCCCUGUCUCUUAUAC
RNAcentral lists this ribosomal RNA (301 nucleotides) under uncultured bacterium. RNAcentral describes it as "partial 16S ribosomal RNA". It matches the Rfam family "Bacterial small subunit ribosomal RNA", at positions 509 to 807 of the family's 1533-position model. The record is from RNAcentral.